GAGUUUGAUCCUGGCUCAGAUUGAACGCUGGCGGCAUGCCUUACACAUGCAAGUCGAACGGCAGCACGGGAGCUUGCUCCUGGUGGCGAGUGGCGAACGGGUGAGUAAUGCAUCGGAACGUAUCCUGGAGUGGGGGAUAACGUAGCGAAAGUUACGCUAAUACCGCAUAUUCUGUGAGCGGGAAAGCGGGGGACCUUCGGGCCUCGCGCUCUUGGAGCGGCCGAUGUCGGAUUAGCUAGUUGGUGAGGUAAAGGCUCACCAAGGCGACGAUCCGUAGCAGGUCUGAGAGGAUGAUCUGCCACACUGGAACUGAGACACGGUCCAGACUCCUACGGGAGGCAGCAGUGGGGAAUUUUGGACAAUGGGGGCAACCCUGAUCCAGCCAUGCCGCGUGAGUGAAGAAGGCC
RNAcentral lists this ribosomal RNA (407 nucleotides) under bacterium enrichment culture clone ALO1_GLFRUDD03GB1N1. Its description in RNAcentral is "bacterial SSU rRNA". It matches the Rfam family "Bacterial small subunit ribosomal RNA", at positions 9 to 416 of the family's 1533-position model. The record is from RNAcentral.